CGCGGCGGGUGCUAAUACAUGCAAGUCGAGCGGACAGAAGGGAGCUUGCUCCCGGAUGUUAGCGGCGGACGGGUGAGUAACACGUGGGUAACCUGCCUGUAAGACUGGGAUAACUCCGGGAAACCGGAGCUAAUACCGGAUAGUUCCUUGAACCGCAUGGUUCAAGGAUGAAAGACGGUUUCGGCUGUCACUUACAGAUGGACCCGCGGCGCAUUAGCUAGUUGGUGAGGUAACGGCUCACCAAGGCGACGAUGCGUAGCCGACCUGAGAGGGUGAUCGGCCACACUGGGACUGAGACACGGCCCAGACUCCUACGGGAGGCAGCAGUAGGGAAUCUUCCGCAAUGGACGAAAGUCUGACGGAGCAACGCCGCGUGAGUGAUGAAGGUUUUCGGAUCGUAAAGCUCUGUUGUUAGGGAAGAACAAGUGCAAGAGUAACUGCUUGCACCUUGACGGUACCUAACCAGAAAGCCACGGCUAACUACGUGCCAGCAGCCGCGGUAAUACGUAGGUGGCAAGCGUUGUCCGGAAUUAUUGGGCGUAAAGGGCUCGCAGGCGGUUUCUUAAGUCUGAUGUGAAAGCCCCCGGCUCAACCGGGGAGGGUCAUUGGAAACUGGGAAACUUGAGUGCAGAAGAGGAGAGUGGAAUUCCACGUGUAGCGGUGAAAUGCGUAAAGAUGUGGAGGAACACCAGUGGCGAAGGCGACUCUCUGGUCUGUAACUGACGCUGAGGAGCGAAAGCGUGGGGAGCGAACAGGAUUAGAUACCCUGGUAGUCCACGCCGUAAACGAUGAGUGCUAAGUGUUAGGGGGUUUCCGCCCCUUAGUGCUGCAGCUAACGCAUUAAGCACUCCGCCUGGGGANUACGGUCCCAAAACUGAAACUCAAAGGAAUUGACGGGGGCCCGCACAAGCGGUGGAACAUGUUGUUUNAU
RNAcentral lists this ribosomal RNA (931 nucleotides) under Bacillus subtilis. Its description in RNAcentral is "bacterial SSU rRNA". It matches the Rfam family "Bacterial small subunit ribosomal RNA", at positions 38 to 950 of the family's 1533-position model. Lineage: Bacteria; Bacillati; Bacillota; Bacilli; Caryophanales; Bacillaceae. The record is from RNAcentral.